RNAcentral lists this ribosomal RNA (301 nucleotides) under uncultured bacterium. RNAcentral's name for it is "partial 16S ribosomal RNA". It matches the Rfam family "Bacterial small subunit ribosomal RNA", at positions 509 to 807 of the family's 1533-position model. The record is from RNAcentral.
CAGCAGCCACGGUAAUACGAAGGGGGCUAGCGUUGUUCGGAUUUACUGGGCGUAAAGGGUGCGUAGGCGGAUUGUUAAGUCAGGGGUGAAAUCCCGAGGCUCAACCUCGGAACUGCCUUUGAUACUGGCGAUCUUGAGUCCGGGAGAGGUGAGUGGAACUGCGAGUGUAGAGGUGAAAUUCGUAGAUAUUCGCAAGAACACCGGUGGCGAAGGCGGCUCACCGGCCCGGUACUGACGCUGAGGCACGAAAGCGUAGGGAGCAAACAGGAUUAGAUACCCGAGUAGUCCCUGUCUCUUAUAC